This 379-nucleotide unclassified non-coding RNA is filed under the name uncultured bacterium. Its description in RNAcentral is "contains 16S-23S intergenic spacer region". The record is from RNAcentral.
UCCGGCUUAUCACCGGCAGUCCCACUAGAGUGCCCAACUGAAUGACGGCAACUAAUGGCAAGGGUUGCGCUCGUUGCGGGACUUAACCCAACAUCUCACGACACGAGCUGACGACGGCCAUGCAGCACCUGUGUCCACGCCCCUUGCGGGGAGGAAUCCAUCUCUGGAAGCCGUCGUGGCAUGUCAAGGGCUGGUAAGGUUCUUCGCGUUGCGUCGAAUUGAACCACAUGCUCCACCGCUUGUGCGGGCCCCCGUCAAUUCCUUUGAGUUUUAGCCUUGCGGCCGUACUCCCCAGGCGGGGAACUUAAUGCGUUAGCUUCGGCACGGACGGAGUCGACACCGCCCACACCUAGUUCCCAUCGUUUACGGCGUGGACUAC